AUUGAACGCUGGCGGCAUGCUUUACACAUGCAAGUCGAACGGUAACAGGCCGCAAGUUGCUGACGAGUGGCGAACGGGGGCGUAAUGCAUCGGAACGUGCCCAGUCGUGGGGGAUAACUACUCGAAAGAGUAGCUAAUACCGCAUACGAUCUAUGGAUGAAAGCGGGGGACCGUAAGACCUCGCGCGAUUUGAGCGGCCGAUGUCAGAUUAGGUAGUUGGUGGGGUAAAGGCUCACCAAGCCAACGAUCUGUAGCUGGUCUGAGAGGACGACCAGCCACACUGGGACUGAGACACGGCCCAGACUCCUACGGGAGGCAGCAGUGGGGAAUUUUGGACAAUGGGCGCAAGCCUGAUCCAGCAAUGCCGCGUGCAGGAAGAAGGCCUUCGGGUUGUAAACUGCUUUUGUACGGAACGAAACGGCUCUGGUUAAUACCCGGGGCUAAUGACGGUACCGUAAGAAUAAGCACCGGCUAACUACGUG
This 482-nucleotide ribosomal RNA is filed under the name uncultured bacterium. RNAcentral describes it as "partial 16S ribosomal RNA". It matches the Rfam family "Bacterial small subunit ribosomal RNA", at positions 30 to 507 of the family's 1533-position model. The record is from RNAcentral.